CGUAACACGUGAGCAACCUUCCGAAAUAUGGGGGAUAGCCGGCCUAACGGCCGAGUAAUACCGCAUACGCUCUCGAUGAGGCAUUUCAUUGAGAGGAAACCUCCGGGGUAUUUCGAGGGGCUCGCGGCCUAUCAGCUAGUUGGCGAGGUAACGGCUCACCAAGGCAACGACGGGUAGCUGGUCUGAGAGGAUGGUCAGCCGGACUGGGACUGCGAUACGGCCCAG
Molecule: ribosomal RNA, 225 nt
Filed under: uncultured bacterium
Lineage: Bacteria
Description: partial 16S ribosomal RNA
Rfam family: Bacterial small subunit ribosomal RNA
Source: RNAcentral